CACAAUUGAAUAGGCUCCUCAAGGGUGGUCGGCUCAUCCCCUCACGAAAGGGGGUGAGAUCGGUAUGACGGAAUUUCAGACAUUGACGGUGAUGAUUGCAUUCGGUUCUCUUGGUAGUGCUAUCAUUUUCGGAACGUUGACUGUAAUACUGUCCAUACUCAACCUGACAAAAAAGAAAUAGACCUCCCUUGAGCUUGGCCGCUUAGGAGAUCUAUUUCUAGCAGACAUUGAGCCGACACCCUUGAUGGGUAUCAGUUGUGCAAACGGCCGUAGGUGUUUCCCGCACCUGCG
RNAcentral lists this small RNA (291 nucleotides) under Tumebacillus flagellatus. RNAcentral's name for it is "BsrG". It matches the Rfam family "BsrG". Rfam says of the family: bsrE, bsrG and bsrH pair through intermolecular interactions with antisense sRNAs. Lineage: Bacteria; Bacillati; Bacillota; Bacilli; Caryophanales; Alicyclobacillaceae. The record is from Rfam by way of RNAcentral.